RNAcentral lists this long non-coding RNA (716 nucleotides) under Homo sapiens (human). RNAcentral's name for it is "HSALNT0282326". Lineage: Eukaryota; Metazoa; Chordata; Mammalia; Primates; Hominidae. The record is from RNAcentral.
GUAUUUCGCUCCCUAACCCUUGCUCCUUCUUCCUCCUUCUUCUCUCUCUCUCUUUCUCUCUCUCUUCCUUGUGUGCCUUCAGUCUGGGAGGCCCUUUGCUGAUUCCAACUGGAACAUCUAACAUGGGACACUAAUUCAGCUGACUGGAGGAAAUCUCUUCACUGCUGGCGCUGACAACGGAAGACUGAGGGUGACCGGGAUCCUUCACCCCCAUGCCUAGUGCACUAAGAUAGGGAAGCUAAAGGCAGACUCGGGAUGCCUGCAACUGCAGGAAGAUGUAUUGGAACAGACACAAAACUCUCCCUCCCAGAUAAGCACAACAAAGAGACACAGAAGCAGUCCAAGCCUCUGAUAAACUCUCCCACCCUAAAUCCUUAAAAAUUCUUAGUCUGUAAGAGAGUGCGGCUUCUGACGUAACUCAGAAGGGUCAGAAGUCCCUCCCAGGUUUAAAAUAAAUCUGUUGACUGUCAAGCCACCCUUCAUGUUUCUCUCCUCUUUCUUUAAUUCUUACAGAGGCUGCAGUGAGCUAUCAUACCACUGCACUCCAGCCUGGGUGACAGACCAAGACCCUGUCUCAAAAAAAAAAAAAAAAAGAAGCCCUGGCGAGGUGGCUCAUGCCUGUAAUCCCAGCACUUUGGGAGGCCGAGAAGGGUAGAUCACUUGAGGAAGUGGGCAAGACAAGAAGCCUGGUGAGGAGCCACCGUGAGGCAGUUUCU